GCGGUCGUGGCGGAAUUGGUAGACGCACUACCUUGAGGUGGUAACGGGGAAACUCGUGGAGGUUCGAGUCCUCUCGACCGCACCA
This 85-nucleotide transfer RNA is filed under the name Hyphomicrobiales bacterium. RNAcentral's name for it is "tRNA-Leu". It matches the Rfam family "tRNA". From Rfam's summary of the family: Transfer RNA (tRNA) molecules are approximately 80 nucleotides in length. Their secondary structure includes four short double-helical elements and three loops (D, anti-codon, and T loops). Lineage: Bacteria; Pseudomonadati; Pseudomonadota; Alphaproteobacteria; Hyphomicrobiales. The record is from RNAcentral. RNAcentral also lists the same sequence under 2 other names.